GGAAUAGCCCGGCGAAAGUCGGAUUAAUGCCCCUAUGGUUCUCCCUUUUGCGGGCAUCUAACGAGGAGCAAAGAUUCAUCGGUAAGGGAUGGGGAUGCGUCUGAUUAGCCAGUUGGCGGGGUAACGGCCCACCAAGGCGACGAUCAGUAGGGGUUCUGAGAGGAAGGUCCCCCACAUUGGUACUGAGACACGGACCAAACUCCUACGGGAGGCAGCAGUGAGGAAUAUUGGUCAAUGGACGCGAGUCUGAACCAGCCAAGUAGCGUGCAGGAUGACUGCCCUAUGGGUUGUAAACUGCUUUAUGCGGGAAUAAAGUCAGGUACGUGUACCUGUUUGUAUGUACCGCAUGAAUAAGGACCGGCUAAUUCCGUGCC
This 374-nucleotide ribosomal RNA is filed under the name uncultured bacterium. Its description in RNAcentral is "bacterial SSU rRNA". It matches the Rfam family "Bacterial small subunit ribosomal RNA", at positions 140 to 509 of the family's 1533-position model. The record is from RNAcentral.